UAUUCCAAUGCCUCCCCUUGUUUUGCAGCUUCACAGGCAAUAGAUGUGUUAACUACUCUGAUCAUUGUGUAUGCAAUUUCCCCUCUCUUUCCUCUCCGCCUUCCAGAUCUCUCAUCGUACCCAACUCUUCCCCUCUAGACGGCAUGAUCUACCCACAGAGAGCCACAUGUUUUCUCGUCAUUGCCGUCCUCAUCCUCCUCCUACCGCUGAUGUCUUCCUAUCUAUGCAUGGCCGCCGCACAUGACCCACUGCAUCAUGCUCCAGGUGGCGACAUUGGUGUGUGGGGUCGUUCAGAUGGGCUGCAUCAUGAAGGGGGAAAGGUGUUUGGGAUGGGGACUGCGAGGCGCUUGGGGCAGAGGAUACCGAUGAAGAACCCUCCCUCACCAGUCCCCAACGAAAACAUGGGGGUGGUGUUACCCCUGACACCACCACCACCAUCGUUGAUCAAUAAACAAGUGUUGGAGGUCCGGGAUACGAGCAUGCCAUGGUGACUUUAGUGCACCUCCUUGUCUGUUGUUGUUGUUGUUGUUGUUGUGUUACAAGAAUAAUUUCACUAUUGUGAAAUAAGUUGGCAUGCUUCAAAGUGUUAAAAUAUAUUGUUCGCUUAUGUAUACCAAUUUGGACUUUUGAGAGAAUGGUGGAAAUAUAAUUUUAUUAUAGUCGGA
Molecule: long non-coding RNA, 665 nt
Organism: Triticum aestivum (bread wheat)
Lineage: Eukaryota; Viridiplantae; Streptophyta; Magnoliopsida; Poales; Poaceae
Exons: 2
Source: RefSeq, a predicted model, not a curated record